This 490-nucleotide ribosomal RNA is filed under the name uncultured bacterium. RNAcentral's name for it is "partial 16S ribosomal RNA". It matches the Rfam family "Bacterial small subunit ribosomal RNA", at positions 30 to 507 of the family's 1533-position model. The record is from RNAcentral.
AUUGAACGCUGGCGGCAGGCCUAACACAUGCAAGUCGAACGGUAACAGGAAGCAGCUUGCUGCUUUGCUGACGAGUGGCGGACGGGUGAGUAAUGUCUGGGAAACUGCCUGAUGGAGGGGGAUAACUACUGGAAACGGUAGCUAAUACCGCAUAACGUCGCAAGACCAAAGAGGGGGACCUUCGGGCCUCUUGCCAUCGGAUGUGCCCAGAUGGGAUUAGCUAGUAGGUGGGGUAACGGCUCACCUAGGCAACGAUCCCUAGCUGGUCUGAGAGGAUGACCAGCCACACUGGAACUGAGACACGGUCCAGACUCCUACGGGAGGCAGCAGUGGGGAAUAUUGCACAAUGGGCGCAAGCCUGAUGCAGCCAUGCCGCGUGUAUGAAGAAGGCCUUCGGGUUGUAAAGUACUUUCAGCGGGGAGGAAGGGAGUAAAGUUAAUACCUUUGCUCAUUGACGUUACCCGCAGAAGAAGCACCGGCUAACUCCGUG